RNAcentral lists this ribosomal RNA (1399 nucleotides) under uncultured bacterium. Its description in RNAcentral is "bacterial SSU rRNA". It matches the Rfam family "Bacterial small subunit ribosomal RNA". The record is from RNAcentral.
AGAGUUUGAUCCUGGCUCAGAUUGAACGCUGGCGGCAGGCCUAACACAUGCAAGUCGAGCGGUAGCACAGAGAGCUUGCUCUCGGGUGACGAGCGGCGGACGGGUGAGUAAUGUCUGGGAAACUGCCUGAUGGAGGGGGAUAACUACUGGAAACGGUAGCUAAUACCGCAUAACGUCGCAAGACCAAAGUGGGGGACCUUCGGGCCUCAUGCCAUCAGAUGUGCCCAGAUGGGAUUAGCUAGUAGGUGGGGUAACGGCUCACCUAGGCGACGAUCCCUAGCUGGUCUGAGAGGAUGACCAGCCACACUGGAACUGAGACACGGUCCAGACUCCUACGGGAGGCAGCAGUGGGGAAUAUUGCACAAUGGGCGCAAGCCUGAUGCAGCCAUGCCGCGUGUGUGAAGAAGGCCUUCGGGUUGUAAAGCACUUUCAGCGGGGAGGAAGGCGGUGAGGUUAAUAACCUCACCGAUAGACGUUACCCGCAGAAGAAGCACCGGCUAACUCCGUGCCAGCAGCCGCGGUAAUACGGAGGGUGCAAGCGUUAAUCGGAAUUACUGGGCGUAAAGCGCACGCAGGCGGUCUGUCAAGUCGGAUGUGAAAUCCCCGGGCUCAACCUGGGAACUGCAUUCGAAACUGGCAGGCUAGAGUCUUGUAGAGGGGGGUAGAAUUCCAGGUGUAGCGGUGAAAUGCGUAGAGAUCUGGAGGAAUACCGGUGGCGAAGGCGGCCCCCUGGACAAAGACUGACGCUCAGGUGCGAAAGCGUGGGGAGCAAACAGGAUUAGAUACCCUGGUAGUCCACGCUGUAAACGAUGUCGAUUUGGAGGUUGUGCCCUUGAGGCGUGGCUUCCGGAGCUAACGCGUUAAAUCGACCGCCUGGGGAGUACGGCCGCAAGGUUAAAACUCAAAUGAAUUGACGGGGGCCCGCACAAGCGGUGGAGCAUGUGGUUUAAUUCGAUGCAACGCGAAGAACCUUACCUGGUCUUGACAUCCACAGAACUUUCCAGAGAUGGAUUGGUGCCUUCGGGAACUGUGAGACAGGUGCUGCAUGGCUGUCGUCAGCUCGUGUUGUGAAAUGUUGGGUUAAGUCCCGCAACGAGCGCAACCCUUAUCCUUUGUUGCCAGCGGUUAGGCCGGGAACUCAAAGGAGACUGCCAGUGAUAAACUGGAGGAAGGUGGGGAUGACGUCAAGUCAUCAUGGCCCUUACGACCAGGGCUACACACGUGCUACAAUGGCAUAUACAAAGAGAAGCGACCUCGCGAGAGCAAGCGGACCUCAUAAAGUAUGUCGUAGUCCGGAUUGGAGUCUGCAACUCGACUCCAUGAAGUCGGAAUCGCUAGUAAUCGUAGAUCAGAAUGCUACGGUGAAUACGUUCCCGGGCCUUGUACACAACGCCCGUCA